RNAcentral lists this transfer RNA (71 nucleotides) under Loxodonta africana (African savanna elephant). It matches the Rfam family "tRNA". Rfam says of the family: Transfer RNA (tRNA) molecules are approximately 80 nucleotides in length. The record is from Rfam by way of RNAcentral. Lineage: Eukaryota; Metazoa; Chordata; Mammalia; Proboscidea; Elephantidae.
GCAGUAGUGGUUCAGUGGUAUAAUUCUCACCUUCCACAUGGGAGACCUGGGUUCAAUUCCUAACCAAUGCA